AGAUAACUCAGAGUCCCCCGACCGGGGAUAUGAGUAACGGCUGGUUGGCCCAGCCCGGAGUCUUCCUGUUCGACCGCGAGAGCGGAUGGUUCACACCGAGAGAACAGGGAGACUGCAAACCGUAAUAUCCCAACGCUCGGGAAUCCCACCCCUUCAGGGGUGGGA
This is a small RNA of Halopiger xanaduensis SH-6, 165 nucleotides long. It matches the Rfam family "Sense overlapping transcript RNA 0042 (sot)". Rfam says of the family: It is associated with IS1341-type transposase (tnpB) genes, at the 3'-end in H. salinarum NRC-1. The tetraloop structural motif may be functional. Lineage: Archaea; Methanobacteriati; Methanobacteriota; Halobacteria; Halobacteriales; Natrialbaceae. The record is from Rfam.